CGCGGUUUUUUAACGUAUAACAAAAAUAAACAAAAUCGUCUAGUAUUGUGGCGAAUGUCGUAUUAAUCGCAUCACUGCGAACGGCCGAUUAAAAUUGAAUUUUUCAACGUUUUGUCCGGGGACGUCUGGAUGUUCGUGUAGAUUAACUUCGUAAAGUUUCUGCAACGCGAAUUUAAACCGGUCAAGUUAUAAUGGAAUAUAACGGCGAUGCAAACAAUUGGCUAAUCAAUCAAAUUGAAAAGUUGAAAAAAAAAAAAAAAAUUAAAAUAACUUUUUAACUCGUCUUUUCGACCGAUUUAUGUACGCAGUCGAUAU
Non-coding RNA from Cinara cedri, 315 nucleotides. Lineage: Eukaryota; Metazoa; Arthropoda; Insecta; Hemiptera; Aphididae. The record is from the annotation of a GenBank genome assembly.